RNAcentral lists this ribosomal RNA (420 nucleotides) under Fusobacteriota bacterium. Its description in RNAcentral is "Fusobacteria bacterium partial 16S ribosomal RNA". It matches the Rfam family "Bacterial small subunit ribosomal RNA", at positions 355 to 776 of the family's 1533-position model. The record is from RNAcentral. Lineage: Bacteria; Fusobacteriati; Fusobacteriota.
UGGGGGAUAUUGCACAAUGGGCGAAAGCCUGAUGCAGCGACGCCGCGUGGGGGAUGAAGGCCUUCGGGUUGUAAACUUCUUUUGCUCUGAACAAGGCAUGCCUUUGGGGUGUGUUGAGUGUAGGGGUUGAUUAGCGCCGGCUAACUACGUGCCAGCAGCCGCGGUAAUACGUAGGGCGCGAGCGUUGUCCGGAAUUAUUGGGCGUAAAGGGCUUGUAGGUGGCUGGUUGCGUCUGUCGUGAAAGCUCAUGGCUUAACUGUGGGUUUGCGGUGGGUACGGGCUGGCUUCAGUGCAGUAGGGGAGGCUGGAAUUCCUGGUGUAGCGGUGGAAUGCGCAGAUAUCAGGAGGAAUACCGGUGGCGAAGGCGGGUCUCUGGGCUGUUACUGACGCUGAGGAGCGAAAGCGUGGGGAGCGAACAGG